UACGAAGGGGGCUAACGUUGCUCGGAAUUACUGGGCGUAAAGCGCGCGCAGGCGGCUAUCCAAGUCAGUGGUGAAAGCCCGGAGCUCAACUCCGGAACUGCCAUUGAAACUGUUUAGCUUGAGGACGAGAGAGGUGAGUGGAAUUCCCAGUGUAGAGGUGAAAUUCGUAGAUAUUGGGAAGAACACCGGUGGCGAAGGCGGCUCACUGGCUCGUAUCUGACGCUCAGGCGCGACAGCGUGGGGAUCAAACAGG
This 253-nucleotide ribosomal RNA is filed under the name uncultured bacterium. RNAcentral describes it as "partial 16S ribosomal RNA". It matches the Rfam family "Bacterial small subunit ribosomal RNA", at positions 524 to 776 of the family's 1533-position model. The record is from RNAcentral.